UACAGGGGGGGCAAGCGUUGUCCGGAAUUAUUGGGCGUAAAGAGCUCGUAGGCGGUUUCGUAAGUCGGAUGUGAAAACUCCAGGCUCAACUUGGAGACGCCAUUCGAUACUGCGAUGACUUGAGUCCGGUAGGGGAGUGUGGAAUUCCUGGUGUAGCGGUGAAAUGCGCAGAUAUCAGGAGGAACACCGGCGGCGAAGGCGGCACUCUGGGCCGGUACUGACGCUGAGGAGCGAAAGCGUGGGUAGCAAACAGG
RNAcentral lists this ribosomal RNA (254 nucleotides) under uncultured bacterium. Its description in RNAcentral is "partial 16S ribosomal RNA". It matches the Rfam family "Bacterial small subunit ribosomal RNA", at positions 524 to 776 of the family's 1533-position model. The record is from RNAcentral.